RNAcentral lists this long non-coding RNA (1207 nucleotides) under Coffea arabica (coffee). RNAcentral's name for it is "long non-coding RNA (CARA_LNC002583)". The record is from RNAcentral. Lineage: Eukaryota; Viridiplantae; Streptophyta; Magnoliopsida; Gentianales; Rubiaceae.
AAAAGGGGGAGGCUUCAACGAAGAAAAGAGAAAAAAACAGAGUGCAGGAAGAACGGGCUGGAAAUCGGAGAGGCUUGAGAACAGAGGGGCAACAAGGCAAGGGAAAAAACAGAAAAACUGAGAAAAGCGGAGAAAUUGAGAGGGCCGAGAGAGGAAGAGACCGAGGGGGUUUCGUCUGAGAGCCAAAGAAAAGCUAAAAAAAGGGCUACGGGAAACUAAGGAAAAAAAGGAAGAAAAAACAAAAGGGGAAGUGAGAAUAGGAGGGUCUGGUGACGACGGGGUGAGGAGAAAACAGAGGAAGAGAAAAAGAACUAGAGGCGGCCGAGGAAAAAGGUUGAGAGGGAAGCUCGGCUGAAGGAAAAAUCUGGGCAAAAAAAAAGGAGAGAGUGACAGGCCGAAGAAGAAAACUGGAAAACAGAGAGGGAGUCUUAGGCAAGAGCCAAGGGAGAAUCUGAAAGAUUGGGGGAAGUUUUCCAGGAAGAAAUAAACAAGCGAGAGAGAGUAAAAAUAAGGGAAGAAAAUAGAGAUUCGUCUGGGGGCUUCGGGAAAAGAGAGGAAGAGCAGAAAAAGAUACCUUCGUCGUGGGGGGCGGCGGACAGAAAAACAGAGGGGAUUUUUCGGAGAAGCAAAACUAGAAAGGGAGUCCAAGAAAACUUCGGCUUCGGUUGAAAAACAGAAACAGAGGAAGAAGACAAAGGCGCUGAGCAAGAGAAGAAGGGGUAGUCUGAGGAAGAAGCCGCGACCGGAGCCGUAACUCCCACCGAUUCGUCGGAAUCCGCCACUGCCGCCGUCAAUCGUCACCGUGAGAGGCCACUGUGAGGUAACCUCUUCGUUUACAUUUCAGUCUUCCGUCAAAAUAUGUCUGCUGUGAAGUUGGCAUUUCAAUUUCCCUGUCGAUUGUUCAUGGCCUUUUGGAAUACACAUGCUCUGUAAGUUUAUUGGAAUGUAUUUCUUGGGUUGCUGAUAAAAUUUUGGGCUAGUUAUAGUUUCAAUUUGAGCGAGAAUCUAGUGAAAUAUUAAUGCCCGUUUGUUGCUCGAUAAAAUGCCCAACCGAAUAUUAUGAUUGAAAGAUGACUUGCCUGCAGUUUGCGUGAAAGGAAAAUGACAUGGUCAGCAAGUGCAAUGGUAAAAUGUAAAGUUUUUUUGAGGGUUUCUCGCGUGCUUAUUUUGGCGCCAUUUCUGUUUUCUUUGCCUUAUUCUUCCCUAU